RNAcentral lists this long non-coding RNA (1277 nucleotides) under Marmota monax (woodchuck). The record is from RNAcentral. Lineage: Eukaryota; Metazoa; Chordata; Mammalia; Rodentia; Sciuridae.
CAGUUUUCCUUAGCUUUAAUCCAUUCUCAAAUGGAGCUAAGACUCAAGUUUAAAAACACUGCCAGGAGAAUUCAUUUAUAGGUCAAACCCCUAGCUUCUACUUGGAGUGGAAUUGUGAGGCAAACUCCUGUGUUUAUGCAUGUUAUGUUUUUAUAACAGUCAAUGUGUCUUUCCAAGUUACAAGUCAGAAAAAAUAAAGUCACAUGAAACAUUUUCCUCUGAAGGGUCAGUCAGAUGACACCUCAGAAUCUUGUAUACUCAAGAGCAAGAGCAGUAACUGCUUCUGAACUCCAUAGCAAUCCCUCACUUUUUGAAUGCUCACUACAUUCCGGCAGAGUUAUGGUCAUGGAAUUAAGUUAUGAAACCUGAACAGAGACUCCAUGAUUCUAAAGUCAUGAAGGAAAGAAUGUUUCCCAAAAUUUCACUAACCAAGACCCUCUGGUCUUAAUCAGAUGAAGGAAGAGAGCUUCUUGGGGAUUGCUUUCCUAGCCCCAAAUAUCUUAAUCCACCCAAUUUUGGGAAUAGGGUUUUAAAAAUUUCACUUUGUUUUAUGUCUGAAGUUUUAUUAAUGAGAGAUAGAGGUGAACAAAGUGAAGAUUUCAGGAGUGUCAUACUAUCUUUAGAAUAAUUUCUUCAAAUGAUAUUUCAUGUAAGAAAAGGGGAUGGAUGAUUUCAAGAAAAGAUGAGGCAAGAGCAUGGGUUGUUUUGUGCAUUUACAGUAAGCUUUGUGGAGGAGGGCUGCAGUUCUGCAUCCCACUGUGUUUUUACUAUUUUGUCCACUGGAUCCUGGAGAGAGUUUGGGGAGGACAACAAAACUCUAUAUGGUGAUUGUUAAGGUAGAUCCACAAAUUCUAUGAUAGCUCUAUCCCUCAAGAAGUGGAGCUUAAUUCCCUUCCUCUUGUUUGUACGGUUCACUUCAUGAUAGCAUAUGACCUAUAAAGAACAGAAUAUGGUAAAAGUGACUGUGACUUAUGAAACUAGGUCAUCAAAGACAUUGCAACUGCCUCCUUAUUCUCAUUUUUGAAUCAUUUGCACUGGAAGAGCUGGCUACCAUGUCUUCAGGAAAACUCAAGCAGCACCAUGGAAAGGCCCAUGUAAGGGGGAACUGAGGCCUUCUGCCAAGAGCCAUGUGAGCAAACCAUAUUGGAGGUGAACCCUUCAUCCCCAGCAAGGUUUACAAAAGACUUCACCUUGGGCAAUGUUGACUGAAACCUCAUGUGAGAUCCAAGGCCAGAACCACCCAGUUAAGCUAUUCUCAGAUGACCCACAGAAACUUC